UCUCCGUUGGUGAACCAGCGGAGGGAUCAUUACAGGACUCGCAAGACUCCUUCACCCUGUGAACCUCACUACGAGCACGUUGCUUCGGCGGGUGUCCCGGCGGGGGUUUUCCCUCGCCGGGGCGCACAGCCCGCCGGCAGCCUACUAUACUCUGUCUCUUUGCGUUGGCAUCUCGAGAAAAAACAAACAAGUUAAAACUUUCAACAACGGAUCUCUUGGUUCUG
RNAcentral lists this unclassified non-coding RNA (224 nucleotides) under plant metagenome. Its description in RNAcentral is "partial contains small subunit ribosomal RNA, internal transcribed spacer 1, and 5.8S ribosomal RNA". The record is from RNAcentral.